Molecule: non-coding RNA, 638 nt
Organism: Prunus mume (Japanese apricot)
Lineage: Eukaryota; Viridiplantae; Streptophyta; Magnoliopsida; Rosales; Rosaceae
Source: RefSeq, a predicted model, not a curated record
UCAAACCUUGGAGCCUAGCUUCACGAUUUAGCCACAUGGUGUGGGUUUUUUUUGUGUUUGAACUGAAGCUGGGCUUCAGUUUCGGCAAGUAUUUGAGGCUGGGGAUUGGGUUGGGCCUCCCCGGAGGGUUUCGGCAAGGUGUUGAAGUGUGAGAAGAGACUUGAGGACUUGGGCUCUUGGGAAUCCUUGUAGCCGGCCCAAUCAAAAGGUUGUCAAGUUUUGGGUUGUGGCAAGGAUUGGAGCUUGGGCUUUCUUCGGCAUAGAGGGUCUCUUGGAUUUCGGUACAAGGAAUUUGGGAGGGAAGAUGAAAAGGACCUAGGGUUUUCUCGUGAACCGAGGCAUUGGUACCCUUGAGCCUUUAUAAAUAGGAACUAAGGUGACGAAGGCAUCAUACUUGAGUUGUGGAGAAAAUUUUCUAGAAAGUGAGAAGGAGAAAAAGAGAUUUCCGGCGAGAUUUUGGUGGUGGUGCUUGCGGCCAAGGUGAUUUCCGGUGUCUUAUUCAUGGUGGUGCAAACAAAGUUAGACCUCAUUUCCCUUGAAUUUUUGAAUCGAAAUGUUCUUUUUUGUAUGAACAUGUUGAAGACUAGGAUGAACACCUUGAAUAUGAGCAUGAACCCGAUGAACACUUUGAACAUUGA